GGUGAGGCUUAGUGGUAGAGUGCUUGCCUAGCAUGCAUGAAGCCCUGGGUUCAAUUUCUCAGCACC
This 66-nucleotide transfer RNA is filed under the name Dipodomys ordii (Ord's kangaroo rat). It matches the Rfam family "tRNA". Rfam says of the family: Transfer RNA (tRNA) molecules are approximately 80 nucleotides in length. The record is from Rfam by way of RNAcentral. Lineage: Eukaryota; Metazoa; Chordata; Mammalia; Rodentia; Heteromyidae.